Molecule: non-coding RNA, 21 nt
Filed under: Mus musculus (house mouse)
Lineage: Eukaryota; Metazoa; Chordata; Mammalia; Rodentia; Muridae
Source: RNAcentral
UGUAAAGCUGAGGCUAGUCUC